This 153-nucleotide non-coding RNA is filed under the name Nitratireductor aquibiodomus. RNAcentral describes it as "FMN sequence". It matches the Rfam family "FMN riboswitch aptamer (RFN element)". Rfam says of the family: The RFN element is a highly conserved domain that is found frequently in the 5'-untranslated regions of prokaryotic mRNAs that encode for flavin mononucleotide (FMN) biosynthesis and transport proteins. This element is a metabolite-dependent riboswitch that directly binds FMN in the absence of proteins. Lineage: Bacteria; Pseudomonadati; Pseudomonadota; Alphaproteobacteria; Hyphomicrobiales; Phyllobacteriaceae. The record is from RNAcentral.
CCUCGUUCUCAGGGCGGGGUGAAACUCCCCACCGGCGGUAAGCGGCACUGGCCGCAAGCCCGCGAGCGCCUUUUCGCGAGACUGCGGAAAGGGUCAGCAGAUCAGGUGAAAUUCCUGGGCCGACGGUGAUAGUCCGGAUGGAAGAGAACGCGC